Haplochromis burtoni (Burton's mouthbrooder) is the source of this 1524-nucleotide long non-coding RNA. RefSeq lists it as uncharacterized. The transcript is spliced from 3 exons. The record is from RefSeq and is a predicted model, not a curated record. Lineage: Eukaryota; Metazoa; Chordata; Actinopteri; Cichliformes; Cichlidae.
UGUAGUUGCAGAACGCUACAGGACUGAGACAGCUGAGGCAUCAAAUGUUUGAUUAAACGGAUGAAAAAGAGAAGUUUCUUCCCUAUAAUUAUCACUUCUUAAAAUCUGUAGCAACUUCAAGUCUGUCAGCGUGCUGAGCAUGCUCAGAAUGUGACAAUAUAUUUUUGUUCAAUAUUAAUUUCUUUCAGUUGCAAUUGUUAAAUGAAAAAAAUAUAUAUAUAUUCUUAUAAUUUAGCAAACUAAUUUAUCAAAAAAAUACAUAUAUCUGUAUUAGUUUUAAUAAAUUAAUUUGACACCUGUAUUGAAAAUACCAUAUUGUAUUCAUACAGAAUCAGUUUGGUAUCAUUGUUUGUCUGCUCACUGAUUGUUGAAACUAAGAGCUACUUUGAUCUGUUUAGAUCUAAAGUAUCCAAAGUUGAGCUCUGAUGUUUCUUCACCCCUGUGUGUGUGAUAUGUGAUUCCUACAUGCUGGCAGAGCAGAGCAGCAGUUUGUGCUCACAGAUGGUGACGGUGUGGAGAGACGGUGGUGUUUCCUCAGAAGAACCAGCAGAGUCACUUGCUGACUGAUGUUCGUCUGCACUGCACAGAGGAAAUCAGAGGAGUGUUUCUGAGUGAGGGGGGAGGAGUCAUCAUCCAGGUAAAGUGACGUGAUCAGUGGAUACACUUGUCUCCCCUUUAAAGGAGACGAUCCAAGUCAUCCUUAAAUGUUAGUGCUUUCAAAUACACAAACAUUUUUAAAGGACAAAAAUGAACAUCCAACUUUGACUGUAACACAAAAUAAAUCUUUGCAUGUGUGUUUUCAAACUCUCAGAUGGGCAGCAUAUCAGUCUUGGACUGUCUAACCUGCCGAGCAGCACUGAAUGACCACCGCACAGAGCAUGUUCCUGCAACAUUCAGCAUCUGAUCCUUCAUCUGUGUGCUUCUGCUUUUGUGUCACAUGUCAAACAGCUGGAGAGGAAACUACACCAGUGUACUGAGAUGUUUCACCAACACGUGCCAGAUGCUGUUCCUUCAUGGUGACAUCACCAGAGACAGCCCCGCCCACCUCAGGACCUCGCCAUUGAUCAUGAUGAUUAUAAUGAUGACAGCGAGCGGAACUAAGACUGUAAAAAUCCACGAGCAGAAUGUUUCUUUCUAAUUAUUAAUGAAUACUGAGACCUCUGUUCUGUGUUUUGGGGUUGUUGUUUUUUUACCUCAUUUGUUACUAACAAAGUUCACAAACUCACACAGUUUACAUUCUGUAUGUUUCCAUCUUUACCAGCCACACUCUAACUGCAUUUAAGAAAAUAAUCCUUAGAAAUCGUCGUUUUUCUCUUUUGUAAUUGAUGAUAAUUCAGUGAAUAUACUGCGCUGCUUCCUUUUAUUGCGUCUCACAUUGCUUUAAGUUUUUCAGUGUCCAGUUAUUUUUUACUGCUGUUUGAAUUCUCUGUAUGUUUGACCCUGUAGACUGUUUGAUGGACUGCUUGUCUUCCUGUUUGUUACCGCCGCCUGUUUUUUAAUAAAGAUUUGGAUUUCUGACUUCAA